RNAcentral lists this ribosomal RNA (2292 nucleotides) under Escherichia coli. Its description in RNAcentral is "partial 23S ribosomal RNA". It matches the Rfam family "Bacterial large subunit ribosomal RNA", at positions 418 to 2695 of the family's 2925-position model. Lineage: Bacteria; Pseudomonadati; Pseudomonadota; Gammaproteobacteria; Enterobacterales; Enterobacteriaceae. The record is from RNAcentral.
CGGGACACGUGGUAUCCUGUCUGAAUAUGGGGGGACCAUCCUCCAAGGCUAAAUACUCCUGACUGACCGAUAGUGAACCAGUACCGUGAGGGAAAGGCGAAAAGAACCCCGGCGAGGGGAGUGAAAAAGAACCUGAAACCGUGUACGUACAAGCAGUGGGAGCACGCUUAGGCGUGUGACUGCGUACCUUUUGUAUAAUGGGUCAGCGACUUAUAUUCUGUAGCAAGGUUAACCGAAUAGGGGAGCCGAAGGGAAACCGAGUCUUAACUGGGCGUUAAGUUGCAGGGUAUAGACCCGAAACCCGGUGAUCUAGCCAUGGGCAGGUUGAAGGUUGGGUAACACUAACUGGAGGACCGAACCGACUAAUGUUGAAAAAUUAGCGGAUGACUUGUGGCUGGGGGUGAAAGGCCAAUCAAACCGGGAGAUAGCUGGUUCUCCCCGAAAGCUAUUUAGGUAGCGCCUCGUGAAUUCAUCUCCGGGGGUAGAGCACUGUUUCGGCAAGGGGGUCAUCCCGACUUACCAACCCGAUGCAAACUGCGAAUACCGGAGAAUGUUAUCACGGGAGACACACGGCGGGUGCUAACGUCCGUCGUGAAGAGGGAAACAACCCAGACCGCCAGCUAAGGUCCCAAAGUCAUGGUUAAGUGGGAAACGAUGUGGGAAGGCCCAGACAGCCAGGAUGUUGGCUUAGAAGCAGCCAUCAUUUAAAGAAAGCGUAAUAGCUCACUGGUCGAGUCGGCCUGCGCGGAAGAUGUAACGGGGCUAAACCAUGCACCGAAGCUGCGGCAGCGACGCUGAUGCGUUGUUGGGUAGGGGAGCGUUCUGUAAGCCUGUGAAGGUGUGCUGUGAGGCAUGCUGGAGGUAUCAGAAGUGCGAAUGCUGACAUAAGUAACGAUAAAGCGGGUGAAAAGCCCGCUCGCCGGAAGACCAAGGGUUCCUGUCCAACGUUAAUCGGGGCAGGGUGAGUCGACCCCUAAGGCGAGGCCGAAAGGCGUAGUCGAUGGGAAACAGGUUAAUAUUCCUGUACUUGGUGUUACUGCGAAGGGGGGACGGAGAAGGCUAUGUUGGCCGGGCGACGGUUGUCCCGGUUUAAGCGUGUAGGCUGGUUUUCCAGGCAAAUCCGGAAAAUCAAGGCUGAGGCGUGAUGACGAGGCACUACGGUGCUGAAGCAACAAAUGCCCUGCUUCCAGGAAAAGCCUCUAAGCAUCAGGUAACAUCAAAUCGUACCCCAAACCGACACAGGUGGUCAGGUAGAGAAUACCAAGGCGCUUGAGAGAACUCGGGUGAAGGAACUAGGCAAAAUGGUGCCGUAACUUCGGGAGAAGGCACGCUGAUAUGUAGGUGAAGCGACUUGCUCGUGGAGCUGAAAUCAGUCGAAGAUACCAGCUGGCUGCAACUGUUUAUUAAAAACACAGCACUGUGCAAACACGAAAGUGGACGUAUACGGUGUGACGCCUGCCCGGUGCCGGAAGGUUAAUUGAUGGGGUCAGCGCAAGCGAAGCUCUUGAUCGAAGCCCCGGUAAACGGCGGCCGUAACUAUAACGGUCCUAAGGUAGCGAAAUUCCUUGUCGGGUAAGUUCCGACCUGCACGAAUGGCGUAAUGAUGGCCAGGCUGUCUCCACCCGAGACUCAGUGAAAUUGAACUCGCUGUGAAGAUGCAGUGUACCCGCGGCAAGACGGAAAGACCCCGUGAACCUUUACUAUAGCUUGACACUGAACAUUGAGCCUUGAUGUGUAGGAUAGGUGGGAGGCUUUGAAGUGUGGACGCCAGUCUGCAUGGAGCCGGCCUUGAAAUACCACCCUUUAAUGUUUGAUGUUCUAACGUUGACCCGUGAUCCGGGUUGCGGACAGUGUCUGGUGGGUAGUUUGACUGGGGCGGUCUCCUCCUAAAGAGUAACGGAGGAGCACGAAGGUUGGCUAAUCCUGGUCGGACAUCAGGAGGUUAGUGCAAUGGCAUAAGCCAGCUUGACUGCGAGCGUGACGGCGCGAGCAGGUGCGAAAGCAGGUCAUAGUGAUCCGGUGGUUCUGAAUGGAAGGGCCAUCGCUCAACGGAUAAAAGGUACUCCGGGGAUAACAGGCUGAUACCGCCCAAGAGUUCAUAUCGACGGCGGUGUUUGGCACCUCGAUGUCGGCUCAUCACAUCCUGGGGCUGAAGUAGGUCCCAAGGGUAUGGCUGUUCGCCAUUUAAAGUGGUACGCGAGCUGGGUUUAGAACGUCGUGAGACAGUUCGGUCCCUAUCUGCCGUGGGCGCUGGAGAACUGAGGGGGGCUGCUCCUAGUACGAGAGGACCGG